Paramisgurnus dabryanus is the source of this 2965-nucleotide long non-coding RNA. RefSeq lists it as uncharacterized. NCBI's taxonomy places the organism in Eukaryota, Metazoa, Chordata, Actinopteri, Cypriniformes, Cobitidae. The record is from RefSeq and is a predicted model, not a curated record.
AAUAAACGCCACUCCCCCUUUUCUACAGAAUGCCAUAAAUCCACUCCACAGAUUGCAGCGCACCAUUCACGCAAUGUAAACAAACAAUGGCGGCGCGCUGAGUACACGGAAUCCUAGUUUUCCUCAUCUACUAUGUACUUCCUGAUCAGCAAACAAACAAAAACAAAAUAAUACUUUAAUGGCAUUGAUAAACCUGUGAUGGUUUUCUGUGACGGGAAAGAAACGUAAGCCAUCAACAUCUAAUAAUUUUCGCAAGAGACGGGUGCUUGUUUGCCCGGGCCGACAGCAUCAAGUUUCUGUCAUGAUAGCACAUUGACCCCAGGGGAUCUUAUGAAAAACUUUCCAUAAUUUUACUCAAAGUCAAUGAAAAUCGAGCAGGACCAAAACAUUUUACAGCUGAUCGCUGUGAAAAACGUUAAGCCACGACGUCAAGUAUAACCGCAGCAAUGACAGUGUUCUUAAUAUGACAAAUUUAGAGAUUUUGCGUCUGACGUCAUCCGUGUUCACGUAAGCUGCUCGUGUUGAGUUCUUCUUCUCAAGAUGACGGAUCGGUCGCUUCAUGGGGUGCUAUUUCAAAUAAGAUGAUAGACUGGGAGUGCAGGGUGUAAAAAGAUUCAUCGUUCAAGACUCCACCUCAGACACCACAGACUAGAACAUAGACACUGCUCAAAAAUAAGUCCACUUCCAUCUUCUGAAGAUUCUGAAGUGCACAUUGAGAAAGGGCCACUGGAGCAAUAUACGGUUGUGCCUUACAGCUCUAAUGGCCAAAUGCAUAGUGACCCAGUGAAUGUCUCUGUUGUUCUUGAGGACGAAUUGGUCACCACCCACAACCAACUUCCAGAGGCCUUUCUUGUCCUGUUUGGAUUCCUGUAUGCUUUUCACAUACAUAUUCCUAAAGGACUUGCAAAAACAUUUGUAUUUGUGCAAAAAACUUUUGCUUGGCAUGGAAGAUAGGAAACUGUCUCCUAGCCUGCAAACCUUAAAGAAUGAGUUGAUGUGAAGCAUAACUUGUACUACCUCAGCACACACAAAAGACAAAAAGAGUUACUUAAAUGUUAUCUAACUGAUGUUACUUUGAUUUUUUUACUUGUAUCUACUUAGUUCUUAUUGACAAGUUAUGGUAAUAACAAACCGGUUCAGUUUAUAAAAAAAUGUCAUUUUUAAUGCAACUGUGUGGUCAGUGGUGUAGUCUACGUGAUACGCAGGACUACGCCGUAUACCCACUAGAAAUUGUCAAGGAUUUCCGUAUACCCACUAAAAAUAGCGCGAGGAUGCGUAACAGCAUGGUUUUGUGACAUUUUUAAACUUUUAGUCAUAAUAUACAUGUGAAGCACUGACCAUUAGCAUGCUACACUUGCUACUUUAGCGGGUUGGUUGAAAUACAUAAUAGGCUAUAUACUUCCUGUCGAACUGCGCGAUCCGAUCGGCGUAUUAAUUUCUAUGAAAUCAAAUUACUAUAGUGACGCGAAAGUGACUGGGGAGCAGUCUGGUGUUGCGCCACAAGCGAGUGAUAGCAAAGUACCGCGAGAGAGACCCAGUUAUCACAUGGAGAAAUCUGCUUUGAAUCGCUCUCACAUUACUUUGACAUCACCAAGAGGUCUGCUUUACGCCAAAUGAAGUCGAACAUGGAGUGUAGCUGCUCACGCGACACUGUAAACAACAUACAGUCCAUGUGGAGAAGUGAACAAGUGAAGCAGUGCUGCAACAUAAAAUCCAUAGAGUUUACAACGCACAUGUGAGUAAACAACAUUUAAAUCAUCAGUCCAGUUUAUUACUUUAUCUGGAGGUAUGGCUCCAAAUGCAAUAAAAUAAGCCCGUGAUUAUAUCCUGAUGGUUUUUAGCUGCCAUCAGUUGCUCUGCAUGUUUGCUUGUGCUUCACAGUGUUAAACUUCCCUUCGAUGUGUUCAUUUAUAUAUCUACGUUCAAGAUGUAUAUGAUCUUAAACUUCUGUGAGGAAAUUCAUGUCUGCGUUGAUGUUCAGUUCAGACUUGCAAAUAUUAGGCUAGAUGGUCUUGUAAUAAUAAUUAAGUAUAAGCCUAUUUUCAGUUUUAGACAAUGCUUAUAUUAUAUGCAAAAAUAAGCUUUUAUAUCAAUGACUAUGCAAAUAAGAGUUAAUUCAUGGUCAUCUUAAAUGUGUAUUAAUUAAAAACAUUUACACCAUUAUAUUACACAUGGUAAUGUUAUCAAUAGUUGUCAGAUAAUAGCUAUUGAAGGAGUGGAUAUUUUUUUCACCUUCAAUGCAUGUGUUUGCCACGGAUUGAAGAUUGUAAACAGUUAAUUUAAUUUUAAUUAACAGUUAAGUAACUUUUGUCCCUGAGUUAGAUGUUGAUUAACACUAAACCAGUCUAAAAAUCAGUCCAGUUUCCCCAGCUGUAAACCCAUUGGCUGUUAAAGUCUUUUUUUUCUUAUAAUAAACUGACAUGUUGAUAACACUUUCAGUUUAUGUGUUCAUGAGUACACUUUCAGAAUGCUCUUAGUUACAUGAAGAUCCAUACUGUAUGCAUCUGUGAGUGUUGUGGUACUUAUGAGGUGUCGCGCUGGGACGAGUGAGCAUAAGGAUGAGAGGGAAAAAUCACAGUAUACUCACUACAAAAAUCUAGACUACACCACUGUGUGUGGUGUUAAUAUAUGAAGUUGGCUGUUAAGCAUUCCUUGCUCAUUUCUCAUUUUAUACAAUACUGUUAAACAGUUUGAGCCUGUUAAAAGAUAUGUUGUGUUGCUAAGAGAAUUUAAUUUCUGACUGGAAAAUAUUAAAUGCUGUUAAACAGUUAUGUUACCUUGAACCCAUUAAAAGGGUAACUUUACUUAUGUGGGUUGCUAAACAGACUUUAAUUUUUGACUGCAGAUUGUAUCACAUUUGUAAAUUUAAGAGAGAUGUUUAAUUCAACUGUCUCAUGCUAGUUUAAAUGUAUGAAAUUUGCUGUGGAGCAAUCCUUUUGUGAAAUAAAUUGCCAACAUUUUAUUA